Small nucleolar RNA from Engraulis encrasicolus (European anchovy), 131 nucleotides. RefSeq annotates it as small nucleolar RNA SNORA63. The record is from RefSeq and is a predicted model, not a curated record. NCBI's taxonomy places the organism in Eukaryota, Metazoa, Chordata, Actinopteri, Clupeiformes, Engraulidae. The transcript has a single exon.
AUGAAAGGGUUAAGUUACGGAGUAGCUGUUCGGUGCUACCCUGUCGUUCCCCCUGCACAUAGGAAUCUGAUUCUUUACUAUCCCUGUCUGUCAUCCUCCUAGGACUGCCAGGGACGCUUGGUUUCAGACAU